This 536-nucleotide ribosomal RNA is filed under the name Streptomyces bambusae. RNAcentral describes it as "bacterial SSU rRNA". It matches the Rfam family "Bacterial small subunit ribosomal RNA", at positions 373 to 919 of the family's 1533-position model. Lineage: Bacteria; Bacillati; Actinomycetota; Actinomycetes; Kitasatosporales; Streptomycetaceae. The record is from RNAcentral.
GGGCGAAAGCCUGAUGCAGCGACGCCGCGUGAGGGAUGACGGCCUUCGGGUUGUAAACCUCUUUCAGCAGGGAAGAAGCGAGAGUGACGGUACCUGCAGAAGAAGCGCCGGCUAACUACGUGCCAGCAGCCGCGGUAAUACGUAGGGCGCAAGCGUUGUCCGGAAUUAUUGGGCGUAAAGAGCUCGUAGGCGGCUUGUCGCGUCGGAUGUGAAAGCCCGGGGCUUAACCCCGGGUCUGCAUUCGAUACGGGCAGGCUAGAGUUCGGUAGGGGAGAUCGGAAUUCCUGGUGUAGCGGUGAAAUGCGCAGAUAUCAGGAGGAACACCGGUGGCGAAGGCGGAUCUCUGGGCCGAUACUGACGCUGAGGAGCGAAAGCGUGGGGAGCGAACAGGAUUAGAUACCCUGGUAGUCCACGCCGUAAACGUUGGGAACUAGGUGUGGGCGACAUUCCACGUCGUCCGUGCCGCAGCUAACGCAUUAAGUUCCCCGCCUGGGGAGUACGGCCGCAAGGCUAAAACUCAAAGGAAUUGACGGGGG